ACGUGUGGUAAUGCGGUAUUUUGGCAACUCUGCAUGACCCUAGGAGGCUUGGCUCGGUUUACAAAUUUGACAAGUACUGUACGUGAGACCUCAAACCUUCCAUUACCAUAACUGACAAUGACCCCCAUAGAAGAAAAGUACUGUAUGCAGGUGAGUGAAAAUUAACUGCCGCGACCUUAAAUUCCACAAUUUUCCAAAAGGUUCUUGGUUUGGUUGAGGUGCUUGAACAUUGCUUGUCAUAAGGAUUAAACUUUCCGCCAGCAAUAUUCCACACAUAUACGCAGUGACCAUUUUGUCCGUGACCAGUACCUAAUGGUCAUAUUCUUCAUAAUUUGGAAGUUGAUGUACAAUAAUGACUUAAAUUACAAGUGUUCAAAAUAAGAUGGAUAGUAGUGCCCCAGAUAUGCUGAUGGACACAGAAGUUUGUCC
This is a long non-coding RNA of Homarus americanus (American lobster), 429 nucleotides long. RefSeq lists it as uncharacterized. The transcript has 3 exons. Lineage: Eukaryota; Metazoa; Arthropoda; Malacostraca; Decapoda; Nephropidae. The record is from RefSeq and is a predicted model, not a curated record.